This 497-nucleotide ribosomal RNA is filed under the name uncultured bacterium. RNAcentral describes it as "partial 16S ribosomal RNA". It matches the Rfam family "Bacterial small subunit ribosomal RNA", at positions 28 to 507 of the family's 1533-position model. The record is from RNAcentral.
GAUGAACGCUGGCGGCAUGCCUAAUACAUGCAAGUCGAGCGAACGGACGAGAAGCUUGCUUCUCUGAUGUUAGCGGCGGACGGGUGAGUAACACGUGGAUAACCUACCUAUAAGACUGGGAUAACUUCGGGAAACCGUAGUUAAUACCGGAUAAUAUUUUGAACUGCAUGGUUCAAAAGUGAAAGACGGUCUUGCUGUCACUUAUAGAUGGAUCCGCGCUGCAUUAGCUAGUUGGUAAGGUAACGGCUUACCAAGGCAACGAUGCAUAGCCGACCUGAGAGGGUGAUCGGCCACACUGGAUCUGAGACACGGUCCAGACUCCUACGGGAGGCAGCAGUAGGGAAUCUUCCGCAAUGGGCGAAAGCCUGACGGAGCAACGCCGCGUGAGUGAUGAAGGUCUUCGGAUCGUAAAACUCUGUUAUUAGGGAAGAACAUAUGUGUAAGUAACUGUGCACAUCUUGACGGUACCUAAUCAGAAAGCCACGGCUAACUACGUG